Molecule: ribosomal RNA, 114 nt
Filed under: Escherichia coli
Lineage: Bacteria; Pseudomonadati; Pseudomonadota; Gammaproteobacteria; Enterobacterales; Enterobacteriaceae
Description: partial 23S ribosomal RNA
Rfam family: Bacterial large subunit ribosomal RNA (bases 1-102)
Source: RNAcentral
GUCCUGAAGGAACGUUGAAGACGACGACGUUGAUAGGCCGGGUGUGUAAGCGCAGCGAUGCGUUGAGCUAACCGGUACUAAUGAACCGUGAGGCUUAACCUUACAACACCGAAG